GCCAGGAUCAAAUCAAAUUAAAUAUUUUGUCUUCAAAGAGUCAGUUCGACACAUGCUUCUUUGUUUUGAAAACUUUAUCACAAAACUUCUUUUUGAUCUAAAAUGCUGUUGAAUAUGACCCUUUUGAGGAGAGAAGUGAGCUCAGAAUUUAGAUGGGGACUCAAUAAGCAAAGUAUACUAAGUGUACAAUAGAGUUUUGAGGUUAACACAUAUGACAAAGCGAUGUGGUCACAAAAAAGGGAAAGUAUGUGUGUCGGACUUGAUGUUCUCUUGCUUUGUCAAGCUUUUUGCUGUAGUUCUCAAGAUCAUAUGUUAAUCUAACACUGAAAAGUGAUGUAAUCUGGUAGCAACAUAGUAGUUCAAAUAAAGGCAUUUGCAUAAUAA
Phodopus roborovskii (desert hamster) is the source of this 384-nucleotide long non-coding RNA. RefSeq lists it as uncharacterized. NCBI's taxonomy places the organism in Eukaryota, Metazoa, Chordata, Mammalia, Rodentia, Cricetidae. The transcript is spliced from 2 exons. The record is from RefSeq and is a predicted model, not a curated record.